Long non-coding RNA from Sander lucioperca (pikeperch), 172 nucleotides. RefSeq lists it as uncharacterized. The transcript has 3 exons. NCBI's taxonomy places the organism in Eukaryota, Metazoa, Chordata, Actinopteri, Perciformes, Percidae. The record is from RefSeq and is a predicted model, not a curated record.
UUUUUUUUCGAUUGCUAAACGACACUGGUCACAACUGAAGCCACAUGUGCAAAACUCUACAGUCGGCAUUACCAACAGUCACAUGAACUAAACAGUUCACAUCACCUGCAAAACUCAUUCCUAACAACACAACUCUUAACCCACGUCUUACUACAGGCUCAGUGGAGCCAAA